AUUGAACGCUGGCGGAAUGCUUUACACACGCAAGUCGAACGGCAGCACGGGGCAACCUGGUGGCGAGUGGCGAACGGGUGAGUAAUACAUCGGAACGUGCCCAAUCGUGGGGGAUAACGUAGCGAAAGUUACGCUAAUACCGCAUACGAUCUACGGAUGAAAGCGGGGGAUCGCAAGACCUCGCGCGAAUGGAGCGGCCGAUGUCAGAUUAGGUAGUUGGUGGGGUAAAGGCUCACCAAGCCAACGAUCUGUAGCUGGUCUGAGAGGACGACCAGCCACACUGGAACUGAGACACGGUCCAGACUCCUACGGGAGGCAGCAGUGGGGAAUUUUGGACAAUGGGGCGCAAGCCUGAUCCAGCCAUUCCGCGUGCAGGAUGAAGGCCUUCGGUUGUAAACUGCUUUUGUACGGUAACGAAACGGCGAGCUCUAAUACAGUUUG
Molecule: ribosomal RNA, 441 nt
Filed under: uncultured bacterium
Lineage: Bacteria
Description: bacterial SSU rRNA
Rfam family: Bacterial small subunit ribosomal RNA
Source: RNAcentral